GCAUGUGUUGGUAACUUUGGAUUUAGGUCCAGUAAAUAUCCCUACCAGCUAUAGGCUGUCGAAACGGGGUGAUGACAGCCACAGGAUUCUGCAGGCAUGGAUAUCCACCAUCUACAAGGAGGAAAUAACCAGCCGGGGGAUAAAGGGACUCCUUAAACAUUGGAGAUCUCCGCAGGACAAGGGCAUCGUGGACAGAACCUGUGUUGCCAAUCAGGUGGACGGAUUCCGAUGUGGCAACCAUCAAUGGCUCCUGCAGCGAAGCAGAAAGCUUCAUGGCCGGCCAGGUGAGCGAAACCUGCCCCCACCACCUCCAUCUCAUCGGCCUUGGGGAAAUGGAUGAUGCGGUGGAGGAUUGUCAUCAUUUCCUCUGCCACGUGGUGUACAGCUCUGCACACUGUAGCCACUGGCAUAGAAAAGGCAUCAGAUGUCACACGGACCUGGACCAGCAGCUGAAUGGUAGACCUGGUGAGCCUGAAGGCUGGUUUGGUUUCUUCAUCUGAGAAGACUAUCUUGAGGAUGGG
Molecule: long non-coding RNA, 521 nt
Organism: Hypomesus transpacificus
Lineage: Eukaryota; Metazoa; Chordata; Actinopteri; Osmeriformes; Osmeridae
Exons: 3
Source: RefSeq, a predicted model, not a curated record